This 252-nucleotide ribosomal RNA is filed under the name uncultured bacterium. RNAcentral's name for it is "partial 16S ribosomal RNA". It matches the Rfam family "Bacterial small subunit ribosomal RNA", at positions 524 to 776 of the family's 1533-position model. The record is from RNAcentral.
UACGUAGGGUGCGAGCGUUAAUCGGAAUUAUUGGGCGUAAAGCGCGCGCAGGCGGCUUUGUAAGUUUGGUGUUUAAUCUCAGAGCUCAACUCUGAUUCGCAUCGAAAACUGCAAGGCUUGAGUACAGAAGAGGAAAGUGGAAUUCCACGUGUAGCGGUGAAAUGCGUAGAGAUGUGGAGGAACACCAGUGGCGAAGGCGACUCGCUGGGACGGUACUGACGCUGAGACGCGAAAGCGUGGGGAGCAAACAGG